CUUGCCCGCUCCGCCCACCUCUUUGCAGGGCAGUCGGGAUGCGCUUGUGGGGGUGGGGUCUGGAGCAAGCACCCAGCCAAUGGGGCGCGGCGGCUGGUCCGGCGACUAGCCGCGGCGGCUGAGGUGAAGGUCCGAGUAGGCGGUGUCUGCGGAGCGGUGAGAUGGCGGCGCCCGUCCUUCUGAGAGCGUAGGCGCUGUGGUGGGAGCGGGGGGCCCGGUACCCUGUGUGCGCAGCGGGGGUCUUGCCCUCCGUCUAUGAGUACUAGCUGGAGUGGGAGUAGGAGCCGGACCGAGCACUGGGCCCUCUGCGACCUGGUGAGGUGCUUCGCAGUCCUUGCCUCCAGAAUCCUUGCCCAGAGUCCAGCGCCUCCUUCCUGUCCAGGAACACCUUCUGGUGGAUCACAGGAUUGAUCAUCCGGGGAUACCACCAGCCCCUGGAGAGCAGUGGCCUCUGGUCCUUAAACGAGGAGGACACAUCGGAACAAGUCAUGCCUGCUUUGGUAAAGAAUUGGAAGAAGAAACGCACCAAGUCUAGGAAGGAUGCCCAGGAUACAGGCCUUCAGUCAGACGCAGAUGGUGGGUGGAAAUCUGGGACAUCCAUGAUGCCAGCCACUUGGACAUCAGCAGAGGACCUCAUGACCCUGGUAGGAGACUGUCUGGGUGGUCCAGGUGAUGAGAGAAACGGUCUCAUGGGAGACGGAUAG
RNAcentral lists this long non-coding RNA (704 nucleotides) under Saimiri boliviensis boliviensis (Bolivian squirrel monkey). RNAcentral describes it as "lncRNA (ENSSBOG00000036448.1)". Lineage: Eukaryota; Metazoa; Chordata; Mammalia; Primates; Cebidae. The record is from RNAcentral.